AGAGUUUGAUCAUGGCUCAGAUUGAACGCUGGCGGCAGGCCUAACACAUGCAAGUCGAGCGGUAGCACAGAGAGCUUGCUCUCGGGUGACGAGCGGCGGACGGGUGAGUAAUGUCUGGGAAACUGCCUGAUGGAGGGGGAUAACUACUGGAAACGGUAGCUAAUACCGCAUAAUGUCGCAAGACCAAAGUGGGGGACCUUCGGGCCUCAUGCCAUCAGAUGUGCCCAGAUGGGAUUAGCUAGUAGGUGGGGUAACGGCUCACCUAGGCGACGAUCCCUAGCUGGUCUGAGAGGAUGACCAGCCACACUGGAACUGAGACACGGUCCAGACUCCUACGGGAGGCAGCAGUGGGGAAUAUUGCACAAUGGGCGCAAGCCUGAUGCAGCCAUGCCGCGUGUGUGAAGAAGGCCUUCGGGUUGUAAAGCACUUUCAGCGGGGAGGAAGGCGGUGAGGUUAAUAACCUCAUCGAUUGACGUUACCCGCAGAAGAAGCACCGGCUAACUCCGUGCCAGCAGCCGCGGUAAUACGGAGGGUGCAAGCGUUAAUCGGAAUUACUGGGCGUAAAGCGCACGCAGGCGGUCUGUCAAGUCGGAUGUGAAAUCCCCGGGCUCAACCUGGGAACUGCAUUCGAAACUGGCAGGCUAGAGUCUUGUAGAGGGGGGUAGAAUUCCAGGUGUAGCGGUGAAAUGCGUAGAGAUCUGGAGGAAUACCGGUGGCGAAGGCGGCCCCCUGGACAAAGACUGACGCUCAGGUGCGAAAGCGUGGGGAGCAAACAGGAUUAGAUACCCUGGUAGUCCACGCCGUAAACGAUGUCGAUUUGGAGGUUGUGCCCUUGAGGCGUGGCUUCCGGAGCUAACGCGUUAAAUCGACCGCCUGGGGAGUACGGCCGCAAGGUUAAAACUCAAAUGAAUUGACGGGGGCCCGCACAAGCGGUGGAGCAUGUGGUUUAAUUCGAUGCAACGCGAAGAACCUUACCUGGUCUUGACAUCCACAGAACUUUCCAGAGAUGGAUUGGUGCCUUCGGGAACUGUGAGACAGGUGCUGCAUGGCUGUCGUCAGCUCGUGUUGUGAAAUGUUGGGUUAAGUCCCGCAACGAGCGCAACCCUUAUCCUUUGUUGCCAGCGGUUAGGCCGGGAACUCAAAGGAGACUGCCAGUGAUAAACUGGAGGAAGGUGGGGAUGACGUCAAGUCAUCAUGGCCCUUACGACCAGGGCUACACACGUGCUACAAUGGCAUAUACAAAGAGAAGCGACCUCGCGAGAGCAAGCGGACCUCAUAAAGUAUGUCGUAGUCCGGAUUGGAGUCUGCAACUCGACUCCAUGAAGUCGGAAUCGCUAGUAAUCGUAGAUCAGAAUGCUACGGUGAAUACGUUCCCGGGCCUUGUACACACCGCCCGUCACACCAUGGGAGUGGGUUGCAAAAGAAGUAGGUAGCUUAACCUUCGGGAGGGCGCUUACCACUUUGUGAUUCAUGACUGGGGUGAAGUCGUAACAAGGUAACCGUAGGGGAACCUGCGGUUGGAUCACCU
Molecule: ribosomal RNA, 1528 nt
Filed under: Klebsiella pneumoniae
Lineage: Bacteria; Pseudomonadati; Pseudomonadota; Gammaproteobacteria; Enterobacterales; Enterobacteriaceae
Also listed under: 11 other names
Description: bacterial SSU rRNA
Rfam family: Bacterial small subunit ribosomal RNA
Source: RNAcentral